RNAcentral lists this RNase P RNA (353 nucleotides) under Eubacteriales bacterium. RNAcentral's name for it is "RNase P RNA component class A". It matches the Rfam family "Bacterial RNase P class A". Rfam says of the family: Ribonuclease P (RNase P) is a ubiquitous endoribonuclease, found in archaea, bacteria and eukarya as well as chloroplasts and mitochondria. The record is from RNAcentral. Lineage: Bacteria; Bacillati; Bacillota; Clostridia; Eubacteriales.
CGAGUCGUAUGAACGGUCGCUGCCUUGUGCCUUGUGCAUGAGGGAGAGGAAAGUCCGGGCUUCACAGGGCAGGAUGCCUGAUAACGUCAGGUGGGAGUGAUCCUAAGGAAAGUGCAACAGAAAGUAUACCGCCGUGCCGUAAGGCUCGGUAAGGGUGAAAUGGCAGUGUAAGAGACUACCGGCUGUCCGGUAACGGAGAGCGCAUUGUAAACCCCAUCCGAAGCAAGUCCAUGAAGAAGCGUUAUGGUUGCCCGCCAUGCUUCGGGUAGGACGCUUGAGGUAUUUGGUGACAUAUAUCCUAGAUAGAUGACCGUUUUCAAAGACAUAACCCGGCUUACAGUAUGACUUAGGGA